Molecule: ribosomal RNA, 1490 nt
Filed under: metagenome
Description: bacterial SSU rRNA
Rfam family: Bacterial small subunit ribosomal RNA
Source: RNAcentral
AGAGUUUGAUCCUGGCUCAGGAUGAACGCUAGCUACAGGCUUAACACAUGCAAGUCUAGGGGAAACGAUAUUGGAAGCUUGCUUCCGAUAGGCGUCGACCGGCGCACGGGUGAGUAACGCGUAUCCAACCUGCCCACCACUUGGGGAUAACCUUGCGAAAGUAAGACUAAUACCCAAUGACGUCUCUAGAAGACAUCCGAAGGAGAUUAAAGAUUUAUCGGUGAUGGAUGGGGAUGCGUCUGAUUAGCUUGUUGGCGGGGUAACGGCCCACCAAGGCAACGAUCAGUAGGGGUUCUGAGAGGAAGGUCCCCCACAUUGGAACUGAGACACGGUCCAAACUCCUACGGGAGGCAGCAGUGAGGAAUAUUGGUCAAUGGGCGAGAGCCUGAACCAGCCAAGUAGCGUGCAGGAAGACGGCCCUAUGGGUUGUAAACUGCUUUUAUAAGGGAAUAAAGUUAGUCUCGUGAGACUUUUUGCAUGUACCUUAUGGAUAAGGACCGGCUAAUUCCGUGCCAGCAGCCGCGGUAAUACGGAAGGUCCGGGCGUUAUCCGGAUUUAUUGGGUUUAAAGGGAGCGUAGGCCGGAGAUUAAGCGUUGUGAAAUGUAGACGCUCAACGUCUGCACUGCAGCGCGAACUGGUUUCCUUGAGUACGCACAAAGUGGGCGGAAUUCGUGGUGUAGCGGUGAAAUGCUUAGAUAUCACGAAGAACUCCGAUUGCGAAGGCAGCUCACUGGGGCGCAACUGACGCUGAAGCUCGAAAGUGCGGGUAUCGAACAGGAUUAGAUACCCUGGUAGUCCGCACGGUAAACGAUGGAUGCCCGCUGUUGGUCUGAACAGGUCAGCGGCCAAGCGAAAGCAUUAAGCAUCCCACCUGGGGAGUACGCCGGCAACGGUGAAACUCAAAGGAAUUGACGGGGGCCCGCACAAGCGGAGGAACAUGUGGUUUAAUUCGACGCAACGCGAAGAACCUUACCAAGUCUUGACAUCCUCUGACGAACGUAGAAAUACGUUUUCUCUUCGGAGCAGAGAGACAGGUGGUGCAUGGUUGUCGUCAGCUCGUGUCGUGAGAUGUUGGGUUAAGUCCCGCAACGAGCGCAACCCUUAUGGUCAGUUACUACGCAAGAGGACUCUGGCCAGACUGCCGUUGACAAAACGGAGGAAGGUGGGGAUGACGUCAAAUCAUCAUGCCCUUUAUGACUUGGGCUACACACGUACUACAAUGGCGUUAAACAAAGAGAAGCAAGACCGCAAGGUGGAGCAAAACUCAGAAACAACGUCCCAGUUCGGACUGCAGGCUGCAACUCGCCUGCACGAAGUCGGAAUUGCUAGUAAUCGUGGAUCAGCAUGCCACGGUGAAUACGUUCCCGGGCCUUGUACACACCGCCCGUCACACCAUGAGAGCCGGGGGGACCCGAAGUCGGUAGUCUAACCGCAAGGAGGACGCCGCCGAAGGUAAAACUGGUGAUUGGGGUGAAGUCGUAACAAGGUA